This is a non-coding RNA of Cadophora gregata, 79 nucleotides long. The record is from the annotation of a RefSeq genome assembly. Lineage: Eukaryota; Fungi; Ascomycota; Leotiomycetes; Helotiales; Ploettnerulaceae.
GGUUGCUUGGUGUAAUGGUCAGCACAUCAGAUUCUGACAGGAGAUUCUGGGGAUAUUGGUUCGAUUCCUAUAGCGACCU